UUACUUUCUGUACUAUCUUUAUUUUCUUAUAUUCUAUCCCCCCACACUCCUCAUAGUCUCUUCCUCACAAUUUCUUUUAUUUUUCUCUUGCAUCAAGUAAAAGUUGUCUUCUAUAAAGAAUUUUGCUAGCACGAAACUAGUUUUGCUGCCUUAGUUUCUGCAGCAUUGCAUAGCAUGACAAGGCCUCACACAGAUGAAGCUGAAUUUCCCUUCUUUAUUUGCUUUCAAAGCCAGUGGGAGCUAUGUCCAUACACCUGAUGACAUUAUUUAGUCACUAGACAUUAGAACAAAGACUUGUGGGAAAAGCAAAAAACUCUCUAUGAAAUUAUGAAUCUUCUUAGAGGAUUCGCAGCAGACAUUUUCAGCAAUUCAGACAUAACAGAGAGAUUAUUCUUCAGACCACUGAUUUACAGCUGGGGCACAAAGGGAGUAGGUGAAAACCAUUCUGUUCAUCUCAACCUCUGCCCAACCAGGGUUUCCCAUGUUUUCUUUGAAUACUUGUGUUGUUCAUCUGCACACUUUUGCUGGUCACUCCAAACCAAUGCAGAGCAGAAGGUGGCAGUUUUGUGACAGUACUAAUCUGUCACUGUGAUAUUUUCUGAAAAAUCUCUUUGCCCAGAAUUCUUCUCCUGGGAAGCUGAGAGGCCUCAGAGAAAAAGCUGCAGAGAGAAGCGAUAGAGGCCUUGGAGGGUGCCUGGCAGCCAGACAGGAUCAAUCCACCACUGUACAUGAAGUUACUGACCUCAAGAUGUGCUUCUGAAGCUUCAUAGAGCAGAAGCAGAAACAUUACCAAGGGAUGAUGCCCUAAUUAUUCCAGAGUUCAGCACCACCACUGUGAGCAAAAUAAAAGCCUGAGCACUAGCAUUCUGCCUCCUUCCCUCCUACUGGCUGGGCUGCACAGCUGAGCCUGAGUCAGCUUACCAAAGUCAUCAGCAGAAGUGAAUCACUUCCACAUGAAGCUGAUAAGGG
Molecule: long non-coding RNA, 969 nt
Organism: Passer domesticus (house sparrow)
Lineage: Eukaryota; Metazoa; Chordata; Aves; Passeriformes; Passeridae
Exons: 3
Source: RefSeq, a predicted model, not a curated record